Long non-coding RNA from Ziziphus jujuba (common jujube), 2689 nucleotides. RefSeq lists it as uncharacterized. The transcript is spliced from 11 exons. The record is from RefSeq and is a predicted model, not a curated record. Lineage: Eukaryota; Viridiplantae; Streptophyta; Magnoliopsida; Rosales; Rhamnaceae.
CCUAGAUUAUCCUUUUCAAAUAUAAAAGAAAAGGAAAAAAACUAAUGAGACGUAUUCCAUUUUUUCUCUAACCUGGACGGAGCACGAAGAAAAGAGGAAGAGAAAGUGAGAGAGAAUCAGGUCGUUGCUAGCGAUCGGAGGCAGAGAGAGAUUAGCACCAUUUGAAUCGAAGAUGGAGAGAAGCCACCUUAAGUCGCCGAUUGAGGAUUCGAGAAGGUUUGCGCUUUUUGGAAAUCGGCAGUGGCUGUGUGGCGAAAACCUGAUGGAGAACACCGUUGUGCUUUCACUUACGGACCAAAGUGAGGGCACGAUUGAAACUCCAACACAAAAGAAGCAUUUUGGGACAUGGAAAUAGAAGAAACUGUGAUUUGAAGCUCAGUCCAAUGGGGUUCCUUAUAAAAGGAGGUUUGGUCAGUCAUCAUCGAUUGAUUGUUGCUUGCCACUAUGAGGGUAAAGGAUGGAAAUUUUGGCGUGAUAGCAAUUUGAAGAGUAAAUUUUAGGGUCACUCAAUUCAGCUUGAUCAUGUUGUUCUUUUAACGGUGGAAUUUGACGAUAGAGAAAUUUUUUAAUGGAGUAAGGUUACAACAUCAAUUAACAACCUUAUAUUGGAAAAGCUCUAUUGUGACCACUGUGGUACAAUGCGUAUACAGGGGAAUCAUAACUAUUCUUGCAAGCUGAAAUUCAAGGAGCAAUCUAUCAUUGACCAAAAUCCUCACCAGGUACAUAGUUUAGUUCAAGAUAGAAAUGGAAAAACAAUAGCAAUACUAUUUGGAAAAUGGGAUGAGAGCAUGCAUUAUGUGGAUGGAAAUUGUUCUGGGAAGGGAAAAGGAUUGGAGUCUUGACCUGAUGCCCAGUUGCUUUGGAAGCGGAGCAAGCCACCCCAGUUUCCUACAAGAUAUAACUUGCCACGCUUUGCCAUCACCAUGAAUGAACUCACCCUUGGAUUAAAGUUGCAGGAAAAGUUGUCCCCUAUAGAUUUAAGGCUCAGGCCUGAUCAAAGGUAUCUAGACAUUGAUUGCUACAACUUUUUAUCCCUUGCCACAGCUUGAGAGUUAGUUGGCUUCUAGGAAACCAGAAAUACUACUUCGGCUGGGGAAACUAGAAAAGCAUAUGUGGAUGCAAAGAGGCUGGGGACUUUCUAGAAAGAGUUCUUAUGGAGAAAUACUACUUCGGCUGACAUAUAAAGCAUAUGUUGAGGAUGAAGAGGAUGACAAAGCUGAGGCAGAAUCCACUAACAUUGAUGCUUUAGAUUGUGAAAGAAGAAACAAAGUAUUCUAAAGAAGCAGAUAAAGAGUCAUUCAUGGAUGUCUUAGCUACUUUAAUUGUGAGUGAAGAAUUUCGAGGAACAGUAGCGUUAGAAACCGGAACUACCAAAAUAUUGAAUAAUGCUUCAAGGGUAGAAUCAAGAAUAUCAAGAUCGCUUGGUCUUAAUGAUGAAUCCGCACCCCAAGAUUCAAACAAUAGUUCAGAACGUCCCAAGGCAAACACUUAAAUUGACAAAGGUAACUGCAAGCGAUAAGCUGGAGAGUUUUCAUGCAGUAAAAAAGGUCCUCAAGGGUUAUAUUGCACUUGGGAAUGCUCAAUUUCCUAAUGGAACCAAUGGUAAUGCCCUAGACAUUCUUGCUUGAGUUCCACUAUAGAAAAAUGGUCUUGAUUAUCGGCACGGUACAGGCCACGGAAUUGGGUCUUACCUUAAUGUUCAUGAAAGCAAGUAUCAAAUUGGUCUCCGUUAUAGUGGAGGUGCCCCGUAUGCUUUUAAUGCUGUCACUAAAGUUUGGCAUUAUACCAAUUGUGGUGCCAGUUGGUGUUCGAGAUUUUAACAUUGAUGGGGAACUUUGGGUCAAGUUAGGAUUGAUACCAACAGAGCCUUUUGUAGGAGUUGUAAUAUUCUCUAGAUUUUAUUCAUAAAACACUUGUAUAUUUUUCUCUUGCUAAUUCAGGUUUAGUUUUUAGUUUUUCUACAUGAUUCUUAUGUCAAGAUGAAGUGGAAGGACCCAAUUUCAUUAUUAAAUUCUCCAUAUUGUUUGAGAUGUGGAAAAACAAGAAAUAAAAAGGAUGAGAAUUUAAAUAGAUAGAUUUCCUUGUGUCCAUGCAAUUGCAGCAUGUAAGCAUCGACAUAUUUCUCCAUAUUUCCUUUGCUCGGUGUAUUACUCAGUUGACUCACUCCGUGAUGCAUAUUCGGAAACCAUAUAUCCACUUGGAGAUAAAUGUCAGUGGCAUGCUCCAGAUGAUGUCAUAAACCAGGUUGUACUUCCACCUCAAAUUGGCAAACAGUCAAGAAGACCGAGAAAGAAGAGGAUUCAAUCUCAAGGAGAGGAGCGUCAUCAAUAUAGAUGUGGGAGGUGCAAACAGGUUGGUCACAGUAGCCGAUCAUGCUCCGCCGCCGUACCUCUUGAUAGCACUACCAACCAACAGUACCAUUGAAACGAAGGCCCAUCAAUUGCCUGAUGCUAUAUUCAGACAAUGGGGCCAUGUUAUGCGGUAUGUGUGUGUAUGCAAUGUAGUCAGGAAUGCAAUUAGUUGCUCACCCACGUAACAUGUGUUUUGGCAUAAUAGACGUUGGCUUUAUGUGUUCUUUUGUUGUCAAAUUCAUCUGUCGUAUUGUUUUGAUAACAUAUCAUUCCGUGUUCAGUUUUUGGUUCAGUUGUUUGUAUGUUUCUUACUAUUGCAUGGAUGAUAUUACUGCCCA